GUACCAUUGUUGAGAGGCAGCCUGGGACUACCACUCCCUGCUAUAGGUGCCACCAAUAGAAGCUGGGUUAUGAGCGCUUAGAGGAGGUAGCUUAAAGAAAGACAAUGAUAUUGAAGCUACCCUCAUUCUCUGUGCCUGUGCAUACAUGGACACAUGUGCACAUGCACACAUGUACCUGUGUGAAUAAGAAGCAAGUAGAAAGUAGGGGUGAAAGAAAAUAGAAAUCACAUUAGUGUACAUGUGGAAUCCAAAAGGGUCAGUACGAACCAAAGCCCAGUUGUAUCAUCCAUCAACCAACUGAUUUUCAAGGGUCAAGUGUUGUUUGGGGCACUCAGGAAACAUGAAGAAAAGGCUCGGGCAAGAGGCCCUGAUUUCAGUGGGAAACUUACCGCUGAGGGUGAAUGCCACGAGACGCAAACGAAAGGAACCAGAGUGUGCCGCUCACUUUUUUUUUUCCUCACUGCAAUGGAAUCUCUAACAGAAGGAAUUUGAGGGAGACUUCAGCUUUUACAGUUCAUCGAGGUGGGGAAGACAUGGCUGGUGAAGCUUCCAAGAUUAACUACAUCCAUGGUGUCUUCAGAGAUGACUCAACAGUUCAAAGCACACACUGCUCUUCCGGAGGACCUGAGUUUGGUUAUCAGCAUCCACAUAGAAGCUCACCACCAUUUGUACCUCCAGUUACAGGGGCACCUUGGGUACUGCACACACAAGGCACACAUGCAGGCAAAACUCAUACACAUUAAAUAAAAAUAAAUACAUCUUUGAAAAAUAAAAGUUACCACAUUA
Molecule: non-coding RNA, 786 nt
Organism: Rattus norvegicus (Norway rat)
Lineage: Eukaryota; Metazoa; Chordata; Mammalia; Rodentia; Muridae
Source: RefSeq, a predicted model, not a curated record